RNAcentral lists this transfer RNA (110 nucleotides) under Klebsiella pneumoniae. RNAcentral describes it as "tRNA-Lys". The stretch from base 44 to 107 matches the Rfam family "tRNA". From Rfam's summary of the family: Transfer RNA (tRNA) molecules are approximately 80 nucleotides in length. Their secondary structure includes four short double-helical elements and three loops (D, anti-codon, and T loops). The record is from RNAcentral. Lineage: Bacteria; Pseudomonadati; Pseudomonadota; Gammaproteobacteria; Enterobacterales; Enterobacteriaceae.
GGGUGAUUAGCUCAGCUGGGAGAGCACCUCCCUUACAAGGAGGGGGUAGUUGGUAGAGCAGUUGACUUUUAAUCAAUUGGUCGCAGGUUCGAAUCCUGCACGACCCACCA